RNAcentral lists this long non-coding RNA (282 nucleotides) under Brassica napus (rape). RNAcentral describes it as "long non-coding RNA (BNAP_LNC008983)". The record is from RNAcentral. Lineage: Eukaryota; Viridiplantae; Streptophyta; Magnoliopsida; Brassicales; Brassicaceae.
CAAACAUUACAUCAAGAUUGCAAGUGAACUUGUCGUAGCCUUGUAGGUCUAUCUCACCAAAAACAUAUAUAUGUUUCGGCUAAUACUGACUGGGUCUGGAUCAUAUCGGAUCAGUCUAAUAGACCUUUACAUUUCUACGACUCUAACUCACGUAGUUUACAAAACUAGUCGUGUAUUGGUGGUCUUCUAUUUCGUCUGUAAUAAAUUAAUUACUUGAACGAACAAUGAAAUAUAAAGAUUUGUUUGUAUCUAUAAUAUUAAAAAAGAAACAUUCUAAAAAAA